AAUAUGAAAAAUCUAAAGUCACCACUCUCCCUCCUCCUCCACCUGCUCUCGUAUUCUUCUUACAUUUGGGUUUUCAUCUCACUUCAAUCCCACGCUCUUUCUUCGCUUAACUCAUCGCUUCUUUUCGCUUUCAGCUGUUGGCCCCCAGGAUAGGCUACUUGCCUUUGUUGAUUUCGCUUUUGAAGCCUCACUUCAGCACCAUGCUUCCCCCUGGAGUUGACACCAUUUGGUUUGAAUACAAGGGCCUUCCUAUUAAGUGGUAUAUACCCACUGGUGUUCUUUUUGAUCUUCUAUGCGUGGAGCCCGAGAGGCCGUGGAAUUUAACGGUACACUUUAGAGGAUAUCCAAGUAAUUUGUUGGUUCCCUGUGAAGGUGAAGACAGCGUGAAGUAAUUUGUUGGUUCUCUGUUUUUAAACAAAUAUUUCUUUGCAAUUCAGUGUGAAUUCAGCGUGAGUUUACGUGUGUUUCAGUAAAUGGAGUCUGUUGUACUUCAAUUUGCAUACCCUUGCAGGAUUAGAUUUAUAUAAGUUCUAUUUUUUGGUGGUCAGUUUGUUUUGAUAUUGUCCUUUGUGUUCUCUAAUUUCUGUUCAUUUUCCACAUUAAGUUGGCAUGUCCCUUCCUGAAUCCUAUAUGUCGGUUUUAAAAAAAAAACUGUCAAAACAUGAAGGUAGCAUAUUUCGUGACAAUAAUUUUGAUUUUGUUUGUUAAUUUACAGAAAUGAUUUACUUAUGCAAUUUAAAAGUUAAAGUUACUAUUUGUUUUAGUUUUUCUAGUUUAGUUUCUUGUAGUCUGAUCAAACCUCAGGAAUGUCUUUUUCUACAUUGAUUUCUUCUUGUGGUAUCUGCUCCUCUAUGGUAUAUGUCAUUUCAGGCUGUAUCUCUUUUUGACAAUUCUCAUUAACUGCAUCGUUUCCAACUAACAUUGUAGUAGGCAAUGAUUGUAGGUCUUCAUGUUCAAGCACACCUAUCAAUAUAGAUAUGAAAUGUUGAAAACAAUAAUUUACACAGCUGUUUAUGUUACACUUGUAAUACAUCUAUAUGUUCUGUGUUAAUUAGAAAGGUAUUAUUGCUGCAAGAAGCUUCUUUAUGGGGCCAUAUAAUUACUAAUUAUGUAUUAUAAUCCACCUAUAGAGGCAUGUGGAUUCAAGAAUUUUUAUUUCAUCUAAUUCAUGUUGUUAUUUUUCUUUUGGGGGCAUGAAUAUAUGCAUUGCGUUUGUUUUUAGCUUUUGGUUUUGAAUUCUAAAAUUUAAAAACUUAAUUACCUUUAGUUUCUAAUUUUUGCAUCACAACGUCAGUAGGCUGUUUAGCAUUUGUGGCUUCCUGUAAUGUGAUUUCACUUGCAUCCUUAUUCUCUAAAUUCUCUAUGAAGUGUGGUUCUAGUGUCUUCUCUUUAUCAACAUGAUAACUUAAUUUUGUACCGCAUUCUGCUAUCACAUGUUCUUUUGAUUGGUUGUCUGCAUGUUCUUCUUUUACUAUGCUCAUG
Molecule: non-coding RNA, 1482 nt
Organism: Cajanus cajan (pigeon pea)
Lineage: Eukaryota; Viridiplantae; Streptophyta; Magnoliopsida; Fabales; Fabaceae
Source: RefSeq, a predicted model, not a curated record